GAUGAACGCUGGCGGCGUGCCUAAUACAUGCAAGUCGAGCGAACAGACGAGGAGCUUGCUCCUCUGACGUUAGCGGCGGACGGGUGAGUAACACGUGGAUAACCUACCUAUAAGACUGGGAUAACUUCGGGAAACCGGAGCUAAUACCGGAUAAUAUAUUGAACCGCAUGGUUCAAUAGUGAAAGACGGUUUUGCUGUCACUUAUAGAUGGAUCCGCGCCGCAUUAGCUAGUUGGUAAGGUAACGGCUUACCAAGGCAACGAUGCGUAGCCGACCUGAGAGGGUGAUCGGCCACACUGGAACUGAGACACGGUCCAGACUCCUACGGGAGGCAGCAGUAGGGAAUCUUCCGCAAUGGGCGAAAGCCUGACGGAGCAACGCCGCGUGAGUGAUGAAGGUCUUCGGGUCGUAAAACUCUGUUAUUAGGGAAGAACAAAUGUGUAAGUAACUAUGCACGUCUUGACGGUACCUAAUCAGAAAGCCACGGCUAACUACGUG
Molecule: ribosomal RNA, 497 nt
Filed under: uncultured bacterium
Lineage: Bacteria
Description: partial 16S ribosomal RNA
Rfam family: Bacterial small subunit ribosomal RNA
Source: RNAcentral